Hippocampus zosterae (dwarf seahorse) is the source of this 393-nucleotide long non-coding RNA. RefSeq lists it as uncharacterized. The record is from RefSeq and is a predicted model, not a curated record. The transcript is spliced from 3 exons. Lineage: Eukaryota; Metazoa; Chordata; Actinopteri; Syngnathiformes; Syngnathidae.
GCAUCUUUAAGCUGAGAGAGGGAAGUGGGGCACCACGAUGGAAGCCACCUUAAUAACCAGGAGCUGCAACACACAUGGCGAUUGAGAGAAACAUGGAAAAUGGCUCGAAUGAACUCCCAGGCUGUUUAAACAGCUCUAUAAAUUGAAGGCCUCCAUGCUGGACAGCGCCGAAGGUCCCAACAAGAACAACUUUACAAUCAAGUCUACAUCAAAGGAAAAGCACCGCGGGAGGAGACUCGUGCCUGUCGGCGUCCACAAGGUGGCGUGCUUGCGUUUCUUUGUAUGUAUACUUUGCCCUCACACAUUGGCUACUUUGUCCUUCACUUCUUGAAACACGUAUUUUGCUUUCAAACCACCCACUUCUGGUGGCACUUAGGCUAUGGGAUGACUGAG